UUGCGGUUAAAAAGCUCGUAGUUGGAUUUCUGUUGAGGUCGACCGGUGUACACUUCGUGUAUUAUUUGGUUCGGUCUCGGCAUCCUCUUGGGGAACGUUUCUGGACUUUAUUGGACAGGGCGAGAUUCAAGACUUUUACUUUGAGGAAAUUAGAGUGUUCACGGCAAGCAAGUGCUUUGAAUACAUUAGCAUGGAAUAAUAAUAUAGGACCUUCGUUCUAUUUUGUUGGUUUCUAGAACUUAGGUAAUGAUUAAUAGGGACAAUUGGGGGCAUUCGUAUUAACGCGUCAGAGGUGGAAUUCUUGGAUUGCGUUACGACGAACUACUGCGAAAGCAAUUGCCAAAGAUGUUUUCAUUGAUCAAGAACGAAAGUAUGGGGAUCGAAGACGCUUAGAUACCGUCGUAGUCUAUACCAUAAACUAUGCCAACUAGAGAUUGGAGGGGUUCUCCUAUGUGGCUCCUUCAGCACCUUAUGAGAAAUCAAAGUUUUUGGGUUCCGGGGGGAGUAUGGUCGCAAGGCUGAAACUUAAAGGAAUUGACGGAAGGGCACCACCAGGAGUGGAGCCUGCGGCUUAAUUUGACUCAACACGGGAAAACUUACCAGGUCCAGACAUAGUAAGGAUUGACAGAUUGAUAGCUCUU
Molecule: ribosomal RNA, 641 nt
Filed under: uncultured marine eukaryote
Lineage: Eukaryota
Description: SSU rRNA
Rfam family: Eukaryotic small subunit ribosomal RNA
Source: RNAcentral